This 465-nucleotide ribosomal RNA is filed under the name Vreelandella stevensii. RNAcentral describes it as "partial 16S ribosomal RNA". It matches the Rfam family "Bacterial small subunit ribosomal RNA", at positions 338 to 795 of the family's 1533-position model. Lineage: Bacteria; Pseudomonadati; Pseudomonadota; Gammaproteobacteria; Oceanospirillales; Halomonadaceae. The record is from RNAcentral.
CCUACGGGAGGCAGCAGUGGGGAAUAUUGGACAAUGGGCGAAAGCCUGAUCCAGCCAUGCCGCGUGUGUGAAGAAGGCCUUCGGGUUGUAAAGCACUUUCAGUGGGGAAGAAAGCCUUGGGGCUAAUACCCUCGAGGAAGGACAUCACCCACAGAAGAAGCACCGGCUAACUCCGUGCCAGCAGCCGCGGUAAUACGGAGGGUGCGAGCGUUAAUCGGAAUUACUGGGCGUAAAGCGCGCGUAGGCGGUCUGAUAAGCCGGUUGUGAAAGCCCCGGGCUCAACCUGGGAACGGCAUCCGGAACGGUCAGGCUAGAGUGCAGGAGAGGAAGGUAGAAUUCACGGUGUAGCGGUGAAAUGCGUAGAGAUCGGGAGGAAUACCAGUGGCGAAGGCGGCCUUCUGGACUGACACUGACGCUGAGGUGCGAAAGCGUGGGUAGCAAACAGGAUUAGAUACCCCAGUAGUC